GAUGAACGCUGGCGGCGUGCCUAAUACAUGCAAGUCGAACGCUUCACUUCGGUGAAGAGUGGCGAACGGGUGAGUAAUACAUAAGUAACCUGGCAUCUACAGGGGAUAACUGAUGGAAACGUCAGCUAAGACCGCAUAGGUGUAGAGAUCGCAUGAACUCUAUAUGAAAAGUGCUACGGGACUGGUAGAUGAUGGACUUAUGGCGCAUUAGCUUGUUGGUAGGGUAACGGCCUACCAAGGCGACGAUGCGUAGCCGACCUGAGAGGGUGACCGGCCACACUGGGACUGAGACACGGCCCAGACUCCUACGGGAGGCAGCAGUAGGGAAUUUUCGGCAAUGGGGGAAACCCUGACCGAGCAACGCCGCGUGAAGGAAGAAGUAAUUCGUUAUGUAAACUUCUGUCAUAGAGGAAGAACGGUGGAUAUAGGGAAUGAUAUCCAAGUGACGGUACUCUAUAAGAAAGCCACGGCUAACUACGU
Molecule: ribosomal RNA, 480 nt
Filed under: uncultured bacterium
Lineage: Bacteria
Description: partial 16S ribosomal RNA
Rfam family: Bacterial small subunit ribosomal RNA
Source: RNAcentral